GAUGAAGAACGUAGCGAAAUGCGAUAAGUAAUGUGAAUUGCAGAAUUCAGUGAAUCAUCGAAUCUUUGAACGCACAUUGCGCCCGCCAGUAUUCUGGCGGGCAUGCCUGUUCGAGCGUCAUUUCAACCAUCAAGCCUCAGGCUUGUGUUGGGGACCUGCGGCUGCCGCAGGCCCUGAAAACCAGUGGCGGGCUCGCUGUCACACCGGGCGUAGUAGAUUUUAUCUCGCUCAGGGCGUGCUGCGGGUUCCGGCCGUUAAAAAGCCUUUUUUACCCAAGGUUGACCUCGGAUCAGGUAGGAAGACCCGCUGAACUUAAGCAUAUCAAUAAGCGGAGGA
Molecule: unclassified non-coding RNA, 336 nt
Filed under: soil metagenome
Description: partial contains 5.8S ribosomal RNA, internal transcribed spacer 2, and large subunit ribosomal RNA
Rfam family: 5.8S ribosomal RNA (bases 1-120)
Source: RNAcentral